Molecule: ribosomal RNA, 497 nt
Filed under: uncultured bacterium
Lineage: Bacteria
Description: partial 16S ribosomal RNA
Rfam family: Bacterial small subunit ribosomal RNA
Source: RNAcentral
GAUGAACGCUGGCGGCGUGCCUAAUACAUGCAAGUCGAGCGAACAGACGAGGAGCUUGCUCCUCUGACGUUAGCGGCGGACGGGUGAGUAACACGUGGAUAACCUACCUAUAAGACUGGGAUAACUUCGGGAAACCGGAGCUAAUACCGGAUAAUAUAUUGAACCGCAUGAUUCAAUAGUGAAAGACGGUUUUGCUGUCACUUAUAGAUGUAUCCGCGCCGCAUUAGCUAGUUGGUAAGGUAACGGCUUACCAAGGCAACGAUGCGUAGCCGGCCUGAGAGGGUGAUCGGCCACACUGGAACUGAGACACGGUCCAGAGUCCGACGGGAGGCAGCAGUAGGGAAUCUUCCGCGAUGGGCGAAAGCUUGGCGGAGCAACGCCGCGUGAGUGAUGAAGGUCUUCGGAUCGUAAAACUCUGUUAUUAGGGAAGAACAAAUGUGUAAGUAACUAUGCACGUCUUGACGGUACCUAAUCAGAAAGCCACGGCUAACUACGUG